This 450-nucleotide ribosomal RNA is filed under the name uncultured bacterium. RNAcentral's name for it is "partial 16S ribosomal RNA". It matches the Rfam family "Bacterial small subunit ribosomal RNA", at positions 354 to 796 of the family's 1533-position model. The record is from RNAcentral.
GUGGGGAAUCUUCCGCAAUGGACGAAAGUCUGACGGAGCGACGCCGCGUGAGUGAAGAAGGCCUUCGGGUCGUAAAGCUCUGUCAUCAGGGACGAACGGCCGGUGGAGUGGAAAGCCACCGGAUUGACGGUACCUGAGAAGGAAGCCACGGCUAACUACGUGCCAGCAGCCGCGGUAAUACGUAGGUGGCAAGCGUUGUCCGGAAUUAUUGGGCGUAAAGCGCGCGCAGGUGGGAUCUUAAGUCCAUUUUGAAAGUUCGGAGCUCAACUCCGUGAUGGGAUGGAAACUGGGAUUCUUGAGUACCGGAGAGGAAAGCGGAAUUCCCCGUGUAGCGGUGAAAUGCGUAGAUAUUAGGAAGAACACCAGUGGCGAAGGCGACUUUCUGGACGAAAACUGACGCUGAGGCGCGAAAGCCAGGGGAGCGAACGGGAUUAGAAACCCGGGUAGUCC